AUUGAACGCUGGCGGCAUGCCUUACACAUGCAAGUCGAACGGCAGCAUGAUCUAGCUUGCUAGAUUGAUGGCGAGUGGCGAAUGGGUGAGUAAUACAUCGGAACGUGCCCUGUAGUGGGGGAUAACUAGUCGAAAGAUUAGCUAAUACCGCAUACGACCUGAGGGUGAAAGUGGGGGACCGCAAGGCCUCAUGCUAUAGGAGCGGCCGAUGUCUGAUUAGCUAGUUGGUGAGGUAAAGGCUCACCAAGGCGACGAUCAGUAGCUGGUCUGAGAGGACGAUCAGCCACACUGGGACUGAGACACGGCCCAGACUCCUACGGGAGGCAGCAGUGGGGAAUUUUGGACAAUGGGCGAAAGCCUGAUCCAGCAAUGCCGCGUGUGUGAAGAAGGCCUUCGGGUUGUAAAGCACUUUUGUCCGGAAAGAAAUGGCUCUGGUUAAUACCUGGGGUCGAUGACGGUACCGGAAGAAUAAGGACCGACUAACUACGUG
This 490-nucleotide ribosomal RNA is filed under the name uncultured bacterium. Its description in RNAcentral is "partial 16S ribosomal RNA". It matches the Rfam family "Bacterial small subunit ribosomal RNA", at positions 30 to 507 of the family's 1533-position model. The record is from RNAcentral.